UAUUUUUGCUAUAGUUUACCAAGCAUACGGUAGGUGGCGGCAUGCACCUCUAUAGCUAGUUUGCAGACCGCCAUAAUACCAUAGAAGAAGACGGAACGUAAACUACUCAACAUGGAGACAGCAGUUGAUAAACUGGAGGCGAUGUUCCAGAAGGCAGAGGCUGACAUGGAGUACAUGGAGAAGCGGCUACGACUGGAUUUCCUGACUAAUGUUCCAGAGAACAGUGCAGCAGAGGAAAACCCUGUGAAGCUGCUGGAGAACCUGUCAGCCAUCAAGACGAGGCAUGCGGCCCUGUGCACACAAGUGCAGGAGAUCGCAGCCGAGCAGAAGCAAUCAAUGGACUCCAUACGAGUGCACCUCGACACCACUGUGCAGCUGGUGCAACAGUUACAGCAGGCUGCUGACGUUGAGCUUCCUACACUGACUGAGACGGAGCAGGAGUCUGCAGAGUUCCUUGGUUUAUCAGUCAAUCAAAACACAGCAGCGGUACCGAUGUCUAUGGAGCUUCAAGCCCAAGAGCUGCCUCGGUCCUCGAGGGAGGGCGAGUUUGAGGAGCUGAGUGAAGCCACACUGGAGGCAGUGCCGUGCAGCAUGCGUGCCAACGUCAAGCUGGCCAACCUCAAUGCCUUCUACAAGCAGCUGCACGAGUACUUCUCCUUCAGAAAAAACAGUGGUGCCCUCAGUUUGCAGAAGAUGAAGCAGAUGAACAUGAAGGUUAGCGACGCCAAGCUGAAAACGUUGCAGCACCUCUCUCUCAUUGAGCUAGACAAGAAAGGGCAUGUUCGUCUGCUAAUGUGAGACUGAGGAACCUGCAUAGCCGAGAGGCUAAAAUAUAAGACCCCACCGCACUAUGUGAUGAAAAGUGACUGAUUCUGCCCAUCUCUCCUUGUCCAUUUGCUAGGCAUAUUAGCCUCAUUGAAGGGUUUUCAGUUGAAUCCUCAUGCCUACAUAUGCUGUGGUUCGAUUUUAAUUUGCUAGAUAUUUUUCUUAAAUGACACCCCAGAAUCUUCUUUCAAAAGGUCGCAAAGUUCUUUCGCAUGGCACUGUAUGUAGUGUUUUCUGGCUUAUGUAUCAGCCAAAUACAUUUCACCUGUAAAUAUGUGAUGAACGAUUUAAUGCCACUGGCUUUCCAACUGUAUUGUACGUCUUGUGUCGAGUGUCAAUGAAUUUUAUGAGCAUUCAUUAAAUUGAAAUAUUCCCUCUGCCCAGGUACCCAAUCAAAAAUAAAUUUAACAAGGCGUGCAAACAUGUAUUAGCAUCUCAAUGUACAGUUUAAAGUCUCUUUCUCCCAAGUAUGUAAAACAAUUACUUAAAAUUUAACAGGAACUUUAAAUGAAUCCAUAAAAGUUUAAAAAUGCAGAUG
This is a non-coding RNA of Oncorhynchus mykiss (rainbow trout), 1363 nucleotides long. Lineage: Eukaryota; Metazoa; Chordata; Actinopteri; Salmoniformes; Salmonidae. The record is from RefSeq and is a predicted model, not a curated record.